GGUGACACACUUUUGCAGUUGGCGUAAACAUCUAUUGAAAUUCAAUGGACCGUGAUGAAUUGCUUUUGUUAGUUGGGGCAGCCAGGAUAUGACUCAUCGCAACGUCAGAAGCAAACAAUGGUUGCUAUUUUUAGUUCCUAUAUAAGCCAGAUACCCUCACAGCGGAUGGCCAGUCGGAUUUAUAAGGCGGAGUUCAGUGGUAUCUAAUCAUAUCCAGACUCGACAGCACUGUACAACUGUAUAGCUUCAUUUCCGAAUAUGAGCAGCUAAACUACCAACAGACCAACUUUCAAAGAUGAACUGUCCAUCUAGUGUUGUAGAUGUUACAUACGGGCAAGAUUUCGUCACAUUGGCAAACAGCAUGGUCAACACGGUGGGUGAAUGGAUCGUGGUCAAAAUAGGAGAUUUGACUCAGCAGUUAAAGAAUGCAAAAACCUUUUGAUAUAUGACAAACCAAAAAGCUAUUUAAAUGAGCUAAUUUGAAU
Molecule: long non-coding RNA, 485 nt
Filed under: Patiria miniata (bat star)
Lineage: Eukaryota; Metazoa; Echinodermata; Asteroidea; Valvatida; Asterinidae
Description: uncharacterized LOC119723783
Source: RNAcentral